GACGAACGCUGGCGGCGUGCUUAACACAUGCAAGUCGAGCGGUAAGGCCCUUUCGGGGGUACACGAGCGGCGAACGGGUGAGUAACACGUGGGUGACCUGCCCUCAGCUCUGGGAUAAGCCUGGGAAACCGGGUCUAAUACUGGAUAUGACUCCAUGACGCAUGUUGUGGGGUGGAAAGCCUUGUGCGGCUGAGGAUGGGCCCGCGGCCUAUCAGCUUGUUGGUGGGGUGAGGCCUACCAAGGCGACGACGGGUAGCCGGCCUGAGAGGGCGACCGGCCACACUGGGACUGAGACACGGCCCAGACUCCUACGGGAGGCAGCAGUGGGGAAUCUUGCGCAAGUGGGCGAAAGCCUGACGCAGCGACGCCGCGUGAGGGAUGACGGCCUGGUUGUAAC
RNAcentral lists this ribosomal RNA (397 nucleotides) under uncultured bacterium. RNAcentral's name for it is "bacterial SSU rRNA". It matches the Rfam family "Bacterial small subunit ribosomal RNA", at positions 28 to 429 of the family's 1533-position model. The record is from RNAcentral.